This 460-nucleotide ribosomal RNA is filed under the name Bacillus sp. R-31025. RNAcentral describes it as "bacterial SSU rRNA". It matches the Rfam family "Bacterial small subunit ribosomal RNA", at positions 28 to 480 of the family's 1533-position model. Lineage: Bacteria; Bacillati; Bacillota; Bacilli; Caryophanales; Bacillaceae. The record is from RNAcentral.
GACGAACGCUGGCGGCGUGCCUAAUACAUGCAAGUCGAGCGGACCGACGGGAGCUUGCUCCCUUAGGUCAGCGGCGGACGGGUGAGUAACACGUGGGUAACCUGCCUGUAAGACUGGGAUAACUCCGGGAAACCGGGGCUAAUACCGGAUGCUUGAUUGAACCGCAUGGUUCAAUCAUAAAAGGUGGCUUUYAGCUACCACUURCAGAUGGACCCGCGGCGCAUUAGCUAGUUGGUGAGGUAACGGCUCACCAAGGCGACGAUGCGUAGCCGACCUGAGAGGGUGAUCGGCCACACUGGGACUGAGACACGGCCCAGACUCCUACGGGAGGCAGCAGUAGGGAAUCUUCCGCAAUGGACGAAAGUCUGACGGAGCAACGCCGCGUGAGUGAUGAAGGUUUUCGGAUCGUAAAACUCUGUUGUUAGGGAAGAACAAGUACCGUUCGAAUAGGGCGGCACCU